CAACUUCCUGUAUGUACAACUGACAUGGCGGGCCCCUAUAAAUAAUAUUCGCUCGAAACCGAGAGAGAAGCUACGUUUAAAACGCCCUUUAUCAAAGUUUGAUAAAGACAGAAAACAGAGAAAAUCAUACACACGCAAAGGAAAAAAAUUGACAAACCGAGAACACUAUUCAGAUCUCAUCUUCCCUUCAAUUUUGAAUCAACAUUCUGUAAAGGUAUUCCAAUUUUGUAAUUUUUCGUCCGAAUUAAUUUUGGAAGGCUAGCAGUGUUUAUAUAUCUUUCUUGAAUCAUUGAAGGUUUUUAUUUUAUUUUAUUAUUUUGUAUUAUUAAUUUAAAUAUCUAAAUGUUGCUGUCUAUUAACAUUAAUUUAGUUUUUAGUUUAUUUUCUUUGGUCCCAGAUUUUAGUUAUGACUCAUGUGUGUUGCUUGCCGUUGGUUGUCUAGUAAUAGAAUUUGAUACUCGGCUUGUCUGAAGGAAAAAUAUUUUCCGUUGUAAUUAUUUACAUGAAAAAAGGUAUUUCUUAUUGGGUUUUGGUUUAUGUAAUGAAAAUAUUUUGUCGUGGACAGUGGUGGUUGGCAAUAGCAGUGGCAGUGGGUGAAAAAUCUGGAAAGUGACGGUGUAAACUCAUUUAUUUUGGGAUUGAUACAAAGUUUUUUUGUUUGAAAAAUGUUAUUAGGACAACGUUUCUUGUCGAAAUGGAAAUAAUUGAAAAGUUAAGCAUAAAAUUUUACAUUGAAACUAAGAAGAAUGGACAUGGACAAGUAGACACAUGAUUUUUCAACAUAAGAAAGUUAAUUUAAAUUAUUUACAUUUAUAUAGUAUAUCUUUAUUUCUUAAUUUUAUUUUCAACAUAUCCUUUUUAGUUUAUGAUUUUUGUUGGUGAAGUCCUUUAAACUGAUUCGUAGCUAUUUGUUAGAUAUAAAUAACUAUGAGUUAAUCCAUAUAUUACUACUACUAGGGAAAUAUAAAUUGAUAGUUGGCAUAAAAAAAAAUUCAACUUGAGUUGGUCGAACUUUUCACGUGUAAACCACCACAUUGCUUGUUGGAUAAGUGUAGUGUCAUGUGUAUAGUUAAAACUAGAAAGAAAGUUCAUGUAACUUUUCACUCGUGAUACACCACGUUGCAUGUUGUUUAUGUGUCUUCAGGUAUUGUUAACUAACAUGACACACAGCUCCAAUAAGAGGGCCGGUGAUUCAUAGGAAAAAAGUGGAGACUAAAUUUUUUGAUUGAUUUUGUUUGCUGGAUUGUUUUGGAAGGUAAAGUCAAAUGGGACAUUCCACCAAUACGAAAGUUACUAGAUUAAUGUUAAGUUCUGUGACUUCUGUCUCAUGAGCUAUUUUGCGAAGGAAACUAAAUGCUUACUAUGACGUUAGCUAUGGAACUGUAAUAUUCAAAAAUAAAAGAUAAAAAAUGUAUGAAUGUAUGAGCUUUCUGAAAAAUAAUGCUUGUUCUUAGUUAGAAAAUAAUUUUGGUGACCUAGUGCUUUGAUUGAACAAAACGUCUAAAAGUUGAACACCAUUAUCAAGUUAUUAUGCUGGGAUCGAAAUUCAUGUUAGAACAGUGUAAACUUUUAUUUGGUUACUCUUUGUGAUUCCUAAAAAUGAUGCUAGAAGCUUUCAGGAAAGACAGAGAUGUGGGAUAUGUAGCUAAGAGGUAAUGAAAAGGUAUCGGUUUAAUUUUAUGUUGGGAUGAUCUACUAUGGAAAUCUUUAUGUACUUUGAAGAUGGAUGGAAAAACAUGUUGAAAAGAAGUAUAAUUUCCAAUUAUUUUUAUUGAUUUAGAAAGGCAAAUGAUAGAGUUCUUACAGAAGAGCUGUGUUAGGUUCUACUAGAAAAUCAAGUUUUAUUUAAUAUUUAAGAAAAAAGAGAGAUAUAUGAUUAAGCAGUCGCAAGUGUAAGGUCUGGUGGCGAUGAUUAUUACUAUAGGCUUGUGUCGAGUUUCUGCUUAGGUCCUUAUGCUGUUAAAGUUCACAGGAAAAUUUUAUUUAGAAGUUUUUAAAUGGUUAUUAGAUGAAUUAUACUUCUUAUGUGAACCCUGUUGCAUGAUGUAUGCUGGAACCCAUUCAAAAUUUGAUAUAUAUAUAUAUAUAACGUCACAAGUAGAUGAAGAACCUUAACCCAAUGAUUUCUUGAAUCAAGAACUGAGGUUUAAAAGGUUGAACGUCACAAAGAUUGAAAAUUUUUAAUAAAACCUGGAUAGGUCUAUUAAGAACAAGAUUGAAAGCGAAUUCUCACUUUAUAAUUAAUCUUUCAAAAUAAUUUGUUCUUUAUUUGUAAUGAAUAAAACCUUAUAUAUAUGAGGACUCAAACAAACCUAAUUAACUGGUAAAACAUCAAGAAAAUACUAAAUAAAUAGAGUUCUAAUCAAAACGGAAAACUAAAUUCAUGUGGAUCAAUUUUGUACGAUGUAUAACGCUCCACGGAAUUUGCUCUCGUGUUUUAAAAUUUAUUGGCUCACACAAGCGAAAAUGUAAAGCAAUAUGUGUGCGUUGCUUUCUAGCUAGGCUCCCGGCUCAACUUCUUCCUCCUUAGCUUGAAUCAACUGUACCAAGGUUGGUUCUUCUUCUUUCAAGCUCAUCUCGAAACUUGGUAUCUUACUUGUUGAACUUGAACACUCGGCCCACGUAGCUUAGACAAGUCCUUGCAUGGCUUCCUUGAUCUUUUUUUGCUUUUGACCUUGUUAUUGGCCCCUUCUAAACAUAUAAAGGAUCCUUGCUAUCUUGCUUUCCGUGAUACUCAUCAAGUUCAGUAUUGAAGGAUUGGAUGUUGAAGGACAAAGCUUAGAAGAUGAAUAUAGUAGAAACAAAUAUAUUAAGAUGAAUGUGUAAUCAUAAUACAACAGAUCAAAAUAAGAAAUGGGGAUAUACUCCUACGAGUCCGACCUGAUGUGGUAUACAAGUUAAGGAUAAAUUAAGAGAGGAAUGGCUUGAUGGUUUUUUAUAUGUUUUGUGCAUGCCUAAAAAUUCACUAAUUUAUAGAACAAUGGGCCUAGUUGGACAAGUUAGAAGAGAGAGAUUUGGUUGCAAGAUGUUAGAUUUCAUUAGAGUUUUGAGUAUAUAUAGAGCCUGUUUGACAUAACUUUUGAAAAGCCAAAAGGAGUUUUUAAGAUCUAAAAGCUGUUUUUGAACCCGUUUGACUAAUUUUAUGAGUGAUUCUUCUAAUUAGAAGAGCUUUUGGUAUGACUUUCUCUAAAAUUACUUUCGGAAUAGGAAGCUCUUUCAAAAAUUAAUUUUCAAACAAAAAUUAAGGCAACUUCUUUCAAAAACUUUUUUACCGAAAGCAAAAGUGCCAAACGGACCCAUGGUCGAACCGAGUUGCGAGAAGCACUUUGUUGUGGCGAACUUCACUUUUAUUGGAAAUAAGACUUGAUUUAUUGAUAGUUGAUAUUUUAUAUAUACUUUGUACUAAUAGGAAAGUUAUACUUUCCUCUCUUGGUUAUGAUUUGGCUUAUGAUUGACCAACCUUUUAUUAAAUCUAUACUAGAUUAGAGUGCUUGUGACAUCUUUACAUAUAAAUUUGUGCAGAUCUGAGGAGAGAAAAGUACAAAGUUAAUAAUAAAUAAUGGGCUCAGAGGGAGAAAAUUUCGAUCAUUCAGGACCCUUGCAUCUGACAACAGUUGACUGGUAUGACACUUACACUUUGUAAUGUUUAUGAGUAUCUGAAAUGUUAAGGAUAUGGAUUGUAGAGAGAUUGCAUUUAAGAAUCUGCUAUUCGUAAUUAAAAAAAAGUAAAGUAAAGAUAAUAGUAAUGAUAAAUAAUCGGGGGACUUAUUACGCUGCAAAUAUGGCACACUGAAAACUUGCAGCCAUUUCCUAAUCUGCUUGACAUCAUUUGAGUUUGACAACCGAGCAAAAACUGGUGUAAUUGUAUAGCGGUAUCUGAAAACUUAUCUUGAGGAUGCCCUAAAGAACGAAUGGUAUCCUUAUGAAUAUUUAAACCAAAAUUGUGAAAGCAUUUAAAGAUACAUGACCAGUUGAGAAUCGCGAUGUUUAAGUACACGAUCUAAAAGUGCCUCCUCCUCAUAUUCAAUUCUUGAUAUAACUUACAGAAAUUUUUUUCAGUCUGAGAUAAAGCAACAUUUUGUGUUGGAAAUUCUCUACCAUGCCUGCAAACCGCUCUUUCAAAAUUUUACCAAGAAAAAGUCUCUGUUAAGAAUAAAAAUUAAUAGUUACAAUUAAAGAGCUGCUGCAUAUUUGGUUAUGCUUUAUAGUUAAACUUAUUUUUCAAUAACUUUGUUUCCAGACAUGUUUGAAUAAGUUACUUUUUUUUUUUUAAGGAAAAAUAGUUAUUUAAAUAGUAAGGUAGGGGUUACUUUCAAAAUGUGUAACUACUUAUUUCCAACUUUUAACCAACAUAUCAAGUUUAGUUAAACAUAUUUACUUAUAAGUAAAUUCUCAAGUAAUUUUUUUAGUUUAGCCACACAUGCACCUGAUCCUAUAUGCUGUUUUUGGCAGGACAAAUUUCAGUCACCGAAGGUCUGUUGCAGCUAGUUUGGUUCAGAGUGUCUACAUUUUGGAGCGGGAUCGUCAGGAGAAGCGGGAAGGAAGCGAAGCCCUUGCCCCUCCUUGGUGGAAAUUCUUCAAUUUUCAGCUGUACAGACAACUGAUUGAUGAUGCCGAUUCUUCUGUCUUUGGUGCAAUCUAUGAACUCAGUUGCACUGCAUCAGAAAACAUCCCUUCGGCACAACAAGCCCCUCGAUAUAUUGUCGCUUUUCGAGGCACUAUUACCAAGGGGGAUGCAUUUUCACGAGACCUUGAAUUGGACGUCCACAUUAUUCAAAAUGGUCUUCACGGGACAUCUCGCUUUGAGAUAGCCAUACAAGCUGUUCGACACGUGGUGGCGACAUUUGGAAAUUGCGGUGUUUGGGUAGCCGGCCAUUCACUGGGGUCGGCCAUGGCAAUGCUUGCUGGGAAGAAUAUGGCAAAGAGUGGAGUAUUUCUUGAAGCAUUUUUGUUCAACCCACCAUUCUUUUCUGCCCCAAUUGAGAGAGUCAAGGAUGAAAAGAUGAAACAUGGCAUAAGAAUUGCAGGCAGUGUGAUUACAGCUGGACUUGCUUUUGCUAUGAAACAUAAGGACACAAAAAAUGGGUAUGGAGACUCAUUUGUUUCUCUGUCUUGUUGGUUGCCAUGUCUAUUUAUCAACCCGGAUGAUCACAUUUGCUCGGAGUACAUAGGGUACUUCGAACACCGGAAAAAGAUGGAGGCAAUUGGGAUAGGAGGUAUAGAAAGGUUGGCUACUCAACACUCUAUUGGGGGUCUUUUAUUGAAUGCAAUGGGUAAGGAGGUGGACGAGCCACUGCAUCUUAUUCCUUCAGCUAAUCUGACAGUUAAUCGCACUCCGUCACAAGAUUUCAUAGAUGCUCAUGGUAUUCACCAGUGGUGGCGACCUGAUCUGAAUCUCGAGUCGGAAGUUUAUUUUUACAAGUGAGAUAUCUUUUGGUUUAUUGGUAUUCAUCGUAGGGAUCUUUACCGUUUCAAAUGUACAUGUGCUUAACUGCAUGUGUGAAUAAUCUCCAUGCCAUCAAUGUAUUAUUGUGAUUUGUUGUUUAUUCUCUUAGCCCUCAUUGUCAUCAAUUCUGUAUCAUUGUAAAUUUCAAAGCUUUUUGUUUUGGAAAGCUAUUUUCUCUCCCCUUCAUGAUUUCAAGAAAUUUAUGGGUUUAGCCUUUGAAAAGCUCUGUGGUCUGUUUUCUGGGAUGCAAUUAGCCAAUUAGCCGUGUCGAUUGAAUCGAUCGACCUAGC
Molecule: long non-coding RNA, 5736 nt
Filed under: Olea europaea subsp. europaea
Lineage: Eukaryota; Viridiplantae; Streptophyta; Magnoliopsida; Lamiales; Oleaceae
Source: RNAcentral